CCUACGGGUGGCUGCAGUGGGGAAUAUUGGACAAUGGGGGAAACCCUGAUCCAGCAAUGCCGCGUGUGUGAAGAAGGCCUGCGGGUUGUAAAGCACUUUCGUUUGGGAAGAAAAGUUUGGCGCCAAUACCGCCGAACCUUGACGUUACUGACAGAAGAAGCACCGGCUAACUCUGUGCCAGCAGCCGCGGUAAUACAGAGGGUGCAAGCGUUAAUCGAAAUCUCUGGGGGUAGUGAUGGCGGUCGGGUGCGAAAUCCCCGGGCUGAACCUGGGAACUGCAUUCGAUACUACAUGGCUAGAGUAUGGUAGAGGGAAGUGGAAUGUCCGGUGUAGCGGUGAAAUGCGUAGAUAUCGGAAGGAACACCAAUGGCGAAGGCAGCUUCCUGGACUAAUACUGACACUGAGGCACGAAAGCGUGGGUAGCAAACAGGAUUAGAUACCCCGGUAGUC
This 450-nucleotide ribosomal RNA is filed under the name uncultured bacterium. RNAcentral's name for it is "partial 16S ribosomal RNA". It matches the Rfam family "Bacterial small subunit ribosomal RNA", at positions 338 to 795 of the family's 1533-position model. The record is from RNAcentral.